GAUGAACGCUGGCGGCGUGCCUAAUACAUGCAAGUCGAGCGAACGGACGAGGAGCUUGCUCUUCUGAUGUUAGCGGCGGACGGGUGAGUAACACGUGGAUAACCUACCUAUAAGACUGGGAUAACUUCGGGAAACCGGAGCUAAUACCGGAUAAUAUUUUGAACCGCAUGGUUCAAGAGUGAAAGACGGUCUUGCUGUCACUUAUAGAUGGAUCCGCGCUGCAUUAGCUAGUUGGUAAGGUAACGGCUUACCAAGGCAACGAUGCAUAGCCGACCUGAGAGGGUGAUCGGCCACACUGGAACUGAGACACGGUCCAGACUCCUACGGGAGGCAGCAGUAGGGAAUCUUCCGCAAUGCGGGAAAGCCUGACGGAGCAACGCCGCGUGAGUGAUGAAGGUCUUCGGAUCGUAAAACUCUGUUAUUAGGGAAGAACAAAUGUGUAAGUAACUGUGCACAUCUUGACGGUACCUAAUCAGAAAGCCACGGCUAACUACGUG
RNAcentral lists this ribosomal RNA (497 nucleotides) under uncultured bacterium. RNAcentral's name for it is "partial 16S ribosomal RNA". It matches the Rfam family "Bacterial small subunit ribosomal RNA", at positions 28 to 507 of the family's 1533-position model. The record is from RNAcentral.